This 233-nucleotide long non-coding RNA is filed under the name Mytilus galloprovincialis (Mediterranean mussel). Lineage: Eukaryota; Metazoa; Mollusca; Bivalvia; Mytilida; Mytilidae. The record is from RNAcentral.
AACAGAAACAUUGAACAGCAUGGGAAUUUCGUCUCCAUCAUUAUAACAGAAACAUUGAACAACAUGGGGAUUUUGUCUCCAUCAUUAUAACGGAAACAUUGAACAACAUGGGGAUUUUGUCUCCAUCAUUAUAACAGAAACAUUGAACAACAUGGGGAUUUUGUCUCCAUCAUUAUAACAGAAACAUUGAACAACAUGGGGAUUUGUCUCCAUCAUUAUAACAGAAACAUUGA